GGAAGAUAGUGAUCAAAGCCAAGGAGAAAGAUCCCUGAAGGAGCCAGUCCCGCCACGCCCUGGCCAUGGAAUUCUGCCUCCCAGACCGUGAGCAAUACUGUUUGUUGUGUAAGUCGCACAGGCUUUGGUGCUUCAGCAGCAUCACUAGGGGACUAAGACACUGUCAUGUCUUCCACCACACUGGCUACAGCCUGUGCACCUUUCCUGGAGCCAAUGGUUGAAAGGUACUACACAGCAGGGCUGGGAGCGAGCCCGGAGCCUCUCCCCAGAUGCCCAGCCACGAAGCCGACAGAGACCCACAGCUGAAGGUCUCCCCAGAGCAGCACAUGCUCACCCACAUUCUGUCACCUUGGCCAGUUCCUCCCUGGGUUUGGGAGUCCAGCCUGUGCAUUCCUUCUUCGCACAGUGUAGGUCCCUGAGGGUAAGAGGACCACACUUUCUUACUUCCAUCCUUCAGCAGGCAUUUGGUGCAGUGUGGCAGUGCGCAGACCCGGGACUGUCCUAAAGCCAACUCACACUCUCCGUGUGUCAGGCAGAAGGAAUCCUUACAGUGACCUGCUUUGAGGUUGCAAAGUGGGGGCACCAUGGCAUGAACUGACACACUUCUUCAGCUACUGGCAGAGUUCCAACCUCAGAUUUGGGCGACCUGUGUAUUCGUCAGUUCUGAAGAUGGAAGCUAAUGUCUGGAGAGAGCUGAAGUAACCUGGAGAGGAUGUGCAGUGUGGGCAGGGAGGAAGUCUGCAGCCUGAAUCCACAGAUAGUGUCACCUCUGGGCUGUGCAGAAGAAAGAAACAACAGGAGAGAAGGAGGAGCAGUGGUAACAACUGUGGAGUUUCACAUGCCGAGCAAAAGAGUUUCAUGAAGGAAAGUCAGAAUGGGAAAAUGACCCAUGAAGGGGAUUGCGAGAAAGAAGGAGUUGUGAAAUCCUCAGGUCAUUGGUUACCUUGGAGGGAGUGUUCAC
This 961-nucleotide long non-coding RNA is filed under the name Heterocephalus glaber (naked mole-rat). RNAcentral describes it as "lncRNA (ENSHGLG00000040970.1)". Lineage: Eukaryota; Metazoa; Chordata; Mammalia; Rodentia; Bathyergidae. The record is from RNAcentral.